GGGGCCACAGCCCGGGCUGGGGGAUUCGGGUGCAGGAGGGCAGGCUGGGGUAGGGCGGGUAGAAGGGGGCCAGAAUCCGCGUGCCAGCAAGGGAUAGUAGACCAGGGAAUUGGGGCUGGGGUUCAGUGUCUGGCAAUGCCGCAGGGGGCGGGCUCUCAUGCCGUACGGGGCGGAGCCCUGGGGCUCGGGGCGGGACACGGAACGGCGGUGGGAGGGACCACGGGACUAGGGGGUGUAGAGAGCGGAGCCCAGCGGCCAGUGGAGAGGCUAGGACUGGGGAGCGGGGCCUGGCGUUUAGAGGAGGAGCCAGAGGAGGUGGAAGGUGGAGCCUUGGGUCCGGAGACGAAGGCCGUUGGCUACCAGGAGUUGGAAGCGGGUCUUCAGCCUGUGAGUGGCGUGCCACCUGUGCUGGAGAAAGGGCCGAGCACUGUCGAGGGCGGAGCUUCAGGUCAGGGGGCGGAGCCACACGAUCUGAAGGGCGGGGCCGACAAGCGUUGCGAAGAACUAAGCCCGAGUAAUGGCCCGGGUCUUCCACGUGGGGGCGGUCUCCGUGGUGGUCGCGCCUGGGGUCGUAGUAGACCCAGAACUCCCCCUGGAGAGAUUGUGUGGGUGGAGCGGGCUCGGCGCCCCGCUGACUCGGGCCCAGUCUGGGUUCCCCGGAGGCCCCCGAGAGCUCAGAGCUGGGGGGGUGCCCCUGGUGGUGGGGACACGGGGCCGGGAUGGGGUGUGCUUCCGGAGCACCGGGACUCCUCAGAGCCGCCUAGCGGAGAUGUGUGGGUGCCUCGGGGCCGGCCACCUGCAGCAGCCGCAGAGGUGUGGGUGUGCUGGACAGGAGGCAGCUGGGUGUGGCGGGAGUGGGGUCGCACGGUCGGGACUAGUCCGAUGCAACCAGAUAGGGUUUGGACUUUGCGUAAAGGGGCUGGCGGGAACUGAAUGGAGAUGGGGACCCGGAGGAAGGGAAGGUCUGGUAUUGAAUAAAGGGGCGGGGCCCUGGCUGCUGUGGCCUCCCCUGACCCCCUCCCUUCGCUGCUGGGGUCCUCCGCCAAGUCCCCUUCUCACUGGACUGGGAGGUGGGCUGUGCCUACAGAGACAUGAGGCUGAGCUGGGUCCUGACAAUACUGUCCAUUUGCCUGAGUGCCCUCAACACAGCCACGGGGGCCGAAGGCAAGCGGAAGCUGCAGAUUGGAGUGAAGAAACGCGUGGACCACUGUCCCAUCAAGUCUAGAAAGGGAGAUGUUUUACAUAUGCAUUACACGGAUGUGUGAAGGAGAAAAGCGGAAGCUAGUGAUCCCAUCUGAGCUGGGGUAUGGAGAGCGGGGAGCUCCCCCAAAGAUCCCAGGUGGAGCAACCCUGGUGUUUGAGGUGGAGCUGCUCAAGAUUGAGAGACGUUCAGAACUGUAGCAGGCUGCAGAGGGGUAGGAAGCCCCUGUCAGGGACCAGACUGCUUCCAAACAAAACAAAAAAAACCUUUAAAACCCCAA
Molecule: RNA transcript, 1481 nt
Organism: Phodopus roborovskii (desert hamster)
Lineage: Eukaryota; Metazoa; Chordata; Mammalia; Rodentia; Cricetidae
Gene: Fkbp2
Gene name: FKBP prolyl isomerase 2
Exons: 5
Source: RefSeq, a predicted model, not a curated record